AUCUUGAAUGAUAAUAAGAUGUAAAAUCUGCUCAAUGAUUUUUUUUUUUAAAUUGCUGUGGUAUUUUAACUAUACGAAGGUAUUGAAAUAAGAUUUUAAAUGAGUGCUAAGAGAAUGAUUAAACAAUUAUAGACUUUCUUUAAUUAAAUAAUUAAAUUUAAUUUUUUAGUGCAAAAUCUAAAAUAAAAUUUAGGGACAAGAAGACCCUAUGAAUUUUUUAUUUUAUAUAAAUUAUAAUUUAAUUUUAUAAAAUUUAAUUGGGGCGAUAGAAAAAGAAUAAAUAUCUUUUUUAAUAUAAAAAUUAGUUCCGUUUUUAGCGAUUAAAUGAAAAAAAUACUCUAGGGAUAACAGCGUAAUAAUUUUGGAUAGUUCAUAUAGAUAAAAUAGUUUGCGACCUCGAUGUUGGAUUAGGAUUCUUUUUCGGUGAAGAAGUUGAGAAAAAGAAGUUUGUUCAACUUUUAAAUUCCUACAUGAUCUGAGUUCAGACCGGCGU
This 493-nucleotide ribosomal RNA is filed under the name Ixodes apronophorus. RNAcentral's name for it is "partial 16S ribosomal RNA". The stretch from base 344 to 493 matches the Rfam family "Bacterial large subunit ribosomal RNA", at positions 2473 to 2622 of the family's 2925-position model. The record is from RNAcentral. Lineage: Eukaryota; Metazoa; Arthropoda; Arachnida; Ixodida; Ixodidae.